UACGUAGGUGGCAAGCGUUGUCCGGAGUUACUGGGCGUAAAGCGCGCGCAGGUGGUUCCCUAAGCCCGGCGUGAAAGCCCCCGGCUCAACUGGGGAGGGUCAUUCGAUACUGAUCGACUCGAAGGCAGGAGAGGGUAGUGGAAUUCCCGGUGUAGUGGUGAAAUGCGUAGAUAUCGGGAGGAACACCAGUGGCGAAGGCGACUACCUGGCCUGUUCUUGACGCUGAGGCGCGAAAGCUAGGGGAGCAAACGGG
Molecule: ribosomal RNA, 253 nt
Filed under: uncultured bacterium
Lineage: Bacteria
Description: partial 16S ribosomal RNA
Rfam family: Bacterial small subunit ribosomal RNA
Source: RNAcentral